ACUGGUCACGUGUGCAAAUAACUGCAUUGGAUCAGUUGAUAGACAUUUUCUGGAUCUCAGGUAAAACAACGUUUUGAACACUUAUAAUUACAUGCUUUAUAAGUACGUGAUUUGUUAUUAAAUCAAUUAUUAUAAGUUUUAAUGUUCAUAUUUAAUCGAAGUCAAUAAAAUCAUUAACUUUAAAGUUAACUUUCGUUUUCGCCUAGCAUAUACGGUUAAAAUAUCCAAACAUUAGGUAUGUAAAUAAAUAGCAGAAAUAAAUAACAAAAACAAAACCACAAACAUGUAGCAUUGACCAAAUAAUAUUCGUUCUCCUUGAUCUUAUUUAAGUUGAAAAUUCGAAAUUGUUAACAUCACCAAUAAUAUUUUGAGUACAGAUAAGUAUGUUGACAACUAUAAAUACUUUGUGUAAAUACUGACACAUCACUUUGUAUCUCCUACCGCUUUUUAGUAAAAAAAAGAAUUUCUUUCCUUCAAAUAAUAUGCAAGGUAAAGACUAAAAACAAGUUAAAGAUUAAAUGUUGCAACAGACCACCUAUAGUUCCUUAUAGAAAUUUCGAAAGGGUUCAAUAACAUAUGCCGAGAGCUUGACAGUUUCCUUGUACAUGUUAUACGCGUAAUCGGAUAUUGUGCUUUCAGUUGCCAGUGUAUUUAUAAACACUCUAGUAAUCACUUCAUAAUGGACUUUCAUCAUAAGCAAGGAUUCAUAACUUGAACUUAUGGGAUGAGCAUAUUUUAAUACCUAUUCGAUGGCUUUUUAUAUGAAAGCCAUGAUUUUUUUUUUAUAAUGAUUAGACCGUUGGUUUUCCCGUUUGAAUGGUUUUACACUAGUAAUUUUGGGGCCCUUUAUAGCUUGUUGUUUGGUGUGAGCCAAGGCUGUGUGUUGAAUGCCGUUUAUUGACUUAUAAUGGUAUACUUUUUUAAAUAGUUAUUUGGAUGGAGAGUUGUCUCAUUGGCACUCACACCACAUCUUCCUAUAUCUAUUUGAACACGAACACAUGCGAUGAGCAUAUUUCAAUACCUAACCGAAGGCUGUGUAUAUGUCUGCAAUGCUUUGAACACUAACACAUGCUUGGUGAGUUUCUAGCAUAUGCAAUUAAUUAUAAUGAAUUUUAAUUUUUCAUAACUGUUUAUUCUACUUUCGUUUUCGCUUCGCAUACCGUAUAGCGGGUUAUUUUCGCGGGUGUAAAAUUUCGCGAUUUUCAUUGAAUAAGGUAUACGAAAAAUUUUGGCGGUUAUUAUUUUGGCGGAUUUAUCAUUUUAAACAUUGCCUUUGCAUGUACACUUUUAAAUUGGCGGAAUUUAUUUUAGCGAUUUUGUUCUAUCCGCGAAAAUAAGCGAAAAUUUACACCCCGCGAAAAUAACCCGCUAUACGGUAUAAUGUUAAAAUAUUCAAACAUUGGAUAUGUGAAUAAAAAACACAGAUUAAUGAUAAAAAAACACGAAGUUUCACUUGGUUUUUAACAUGUUUAAAGAGCUGCAUAUAUUAUCAUUCACAAUUACAAAUACAUUGCUGAUUCAGAAUACUGAUUAUACAGUAUGUAUCACCUGUUGAUGCUUUACCAAAUUCGAAAUACUUUCAUACUUCAAAAAGUAUGCGCUCAGUAAAUACAGGGAAAAAAACAAGUAAUUAAUAAAUUACACACUUGAGAUCACUUGAGUAUCGUGUUGCUUGGUUGAUAUUUCAUGCUUUACCAUGUUAACAUGGAAGGGUAAAUAAAUACAAUAAAUAUGUACUUUUGCUAUCAAUGACAGGACAUUUGAAAGGCCACAUGAACAUGAUAGUUUGGUAGAGAGAUUGAAGUGACAGGUUUGGUCUUGUAACUGGCCAUCUAAAGUCCCUUCAGAGAGUUUUUGAAAGCGUUGAAUAAUGUGCCGAGAGCUUAAAAUUCGCUUGAACAGAGUCAUCGGAUUUAGUGCAGACCGGCAGUUGUCGGCCGAUUUAAAUUUGUAUUUAUAAACACUCUAGUAUAAACACUAAACAGCCAAGCUGACUUACCUUAUUAGCGAAUGACUUAUUACUUGAACGGGAGAGGCCAUGGAAUAAUCAUCUUACAUGCAUAGUCAAACCAUUUUUGUAUGCCUUUUGAUCUGGCUUCUAAGUGUACUUUUGUUGAUCGAAGACCCUUAAUCCUCAGUUUAAUUCCGUGGUAAUACGAACAAAGUUUUACUUGUUUCAUAAGUAACAAUAUUUGUUGCAUGACACUUGAAAUGGCACAGCUCUAUGCGAAAUAUCAAUGUUAUAUUUAUCUUGUCAAAUUAACUGUUGAUAUUUAUUUACCUGUAUUUUUAAAAUUACCGUGACAGUGAAGCAGAAACGUGUGUUCAAGAAAAAAAGGCGAUUUCAAAUGACAAUAAAAAAAAACGCAACAAUAUUUUUUAGUCGCAGUAUUACAUGCAAAUAUGCCACCUAACAGAAAAAAUUAUCAACUACAUGGGAAAAAAUAUGUGUGCACGCACAUUGUGUGCCAAGCAUAAUUAUGCUUACAUGACUUGCGACAGCAAGAUUUCAUAGAACCUUUAUUUACAUUUACCUAAUUAAGGUAACAACCGGUGAUAAAAAACAUAUCUAAGGAUUUGUCUUACAUAAGACAGAUUUUUGUUAAAAGCAAUUUUAUUCUUUUAAAAUGUCUUUUUUGUAGCAUGACGAGUAAAUAUACUGUGUGUGGAAUAUGUGAUUAUCAGAACAUUAACAAACCAUCAGUUGUCUGGUGUUCAGAAUGUGACGAAGGACUUUGUGAAGAAUGUAAAGUGCAUCAUGCAGCGUCAAAGGCGACCAGAAACCAUAGUAUCGUUCAAAUCUCGGAGUACCAGAGGCUUCCUUCCAAUAUAUUGGAAAUUACUCAAACAUGUUCAAAACAUGAUGAAAAAUUCCAAAUAUUCUGUAAGAAACAUGAUAUUCCAUGUUGUAGACGAUGCGUUGUUGAAACACAUAACGAUUGCAAAGAUUUAAACGCGAUAGAGGAUGUCAUAAAGAAUGUAAAAUCUUCAAGUGCAUUUUCAGAGAUGGAACAAGUGCUGAAAGAACUGUCAGAAAAUUUGCAGAAUAUAAGAAAAGAUAGACAAGAAAACAUUAAAAGUCUAAGGGAGAACAGAAUACAAAUAGAAAAGGAAGUUCAGCAGACACGAAGCCUGAUUAACAAUCACCUUGAUAGGCUACAGGAAUUUUUGAUAAAAGAGUUGUAUGACACUGAGAAAAAGGAAAGCACAAAAAUUAAAAACAUAAUAUCAUCCAUUCAAGAAAGUGAAAGAAAGAUUACCGAAUGCAAAAGUACUUUAUAUACAAUAAAACAACAUGCAUCAGACCUCCAGACGUUUCUUGCAAUGAAACACAUCCAGCAAGAUGUCAGAAACAACGAAAACUUUUUGGAAUCCUUGAUUAAAGAAAACAAAAUGAACAAUGUUUCCAUUACCUGGAAAAACGAAACUGCCUUGAAGAUCUUACCUGUCCAAACUAAAAAGAUGGGGACCAUAAUACUAAAUACCAGGGCAGGUGAUGCAACACUAACAAACAAAAAGAACAAACAAGCGCAGAUGAUGAUGCCUACUACACCUGUUUCUACCAUUGAUGAUAUAAAACUUACUUUAAGACAAACCGUGAACACAAUUGGACAGGAUAUCAAAAGUUGUUGCUUAUUACCUGGUGGCAGAAUGAUUUUUUCCUGCUAUAGAAGUAACAAAAUUCACGUGCUCAAAUCAAGCGGGACUUCAGAUUUUACACUUGAGACAGGAUCCACAACAUCUCAUAUCCACUUUAUCGAAAAAAGUCAAAAACUUGUCGUAACAACUGGGGAAAACAACCAACGCAUUGAGAUAAUCGACAUGAAAAGUAGAAAAUCUGAGAAAUCUAUUGGAGUUGGAACAAGGAUUUUUGGGAUAGUUAACAAAGAAGGGAAAUUAUUUUAUAAUGGAGAUAGAACUGGAUUAUGUUUUGUAAAUUUAAAUGACGACUCUUUAACACAGUUAGUUGACGGUGCAUUGUCUACAUAUAGCAGCAUUGCAACAUGGUCAGAUCAACUAUAUUUUAUAGGCGAAGAUGGUUCAGUAACAUGCAGUGAUCUACAAGGAGGAAUUAAAUGGAAAUUUAAGUUGAAAACAUUUACAGUUCCACGAGGUAUAACAGUGGACAAUUACGGGCGUGUUUACGUAUCAGGCUAUUGGACGAGUAAUGUCAUUGUAAUUUCACCAGAUGGAAGCAAACAUAGAGUGUUGCUGUCACAACAAAAUGGUAUUAAUAAACCACAGUCUUUGUUCUUCGAUCGAAUAAAUAACAAGUUACUUGUUGCGAAUACAUGCAAUUACGCAUUUCUUUAUGACAUUUCAAAUUGAAUAGAUACACUAUCCCUGGGAUGAUCUUAGCU
RNAcentral lists this long non-coding RNA (4361 nucleotides) under Mytilus galloprovincialis (Mediterranean mussel). The record is from RNAcentral. Lineage: Eukaryota; Metazoa; Mollusca; Bivalvia; Mytilida; Mytilidae.